RNAcentral lists this transfer RNA (71 nucleotides) under Stylochus fafai. RNAcentral's name for it is "tRNA-Ser". The record is from RNAcentral. Lineage: Eukaryota; Metazoa; Platyhelminthes; Polycladida; Stylochidae.
GACUUUCAAGAAUUUGUGGUUCGUUUUGUUUUGAAAGCUUAAAGAGGGAUAAUAAUACUUCCCGGAAGUCU